This 281-nucleotide ribosomal RNA is filed under the name uncultured Staphylococcus sp. Its description in RNAcentral is "partial 16S ribosomal RNA". It matches the Rfam family "Bacterial small subunit ribosomal RNA", at positions 81 to 355 of the family's 1533-position model. Lineage: Bacteria; Bacillati; Bacillota; Bacilli; Caryophanales; Staphylococcaceae. The record is from RNAcentral.
CUCCUUUGACGUUAGCGGCGGACGGGUGAGUAACUCGUGGGUAACCUACCUAUAAGACUGGGAUAACUUCGGGAAACCGGAGCUAAUACCGGAUAAUAUUUCGAACCGCAUGGUUCGAUAGUGAAAGGUGGUUUUGCUAUCACUUAUAGAUGGACCCGCGCCGUAUUAGCUAGUUGGUAAGGUAACGGCUUACCAAGGCGACGAUACGUAGCCGACCUGAGAGGGUGAUCGGCCACACUGGAACUGAGACACGGUCCAGACUCCUACGGGAGGCAGCAGCC